GAUAAACGCUGGCGGCGUGCAUGAGACAUGCAAGUCGAACGGACGAUCGAGGCUUGCUUCGAUCGUUAGUGGCGGACGGCUGAGUAACGCGUAGGUGACCUGCCCCGAAGUGGGGAAUAACUGCCCGAAAGGGUGGCUAAUACCGCAUGUGGUGGUGUGUUCAAUCACACCAGUAAAGCCGCAAGGCGCUUCGGGAGGGGGCCUGCGUCCGAUUAGCUCGUUGGUGGGGAACGGCUCACCAAGGCGACGAUCGGUAGGUGGUCUGAGAGGACGAUCACCCAGACUGGGACUGAGACACGGCCCAGACUCCUACGGGAGGCAGCAGUCGGGAAUUUUGCGCAAUGGACGAAAGUCUGACGCAGCAACGCCGCGUGA
This 375-nucleotide ribosomal RNA is filed under the name uncultured bacterium. Its description in RNAcentral is "bacterial SSU rRNA". It matches the Rfam family "Bacterial small subunit ribosomal RNA", at positions 28 to 404 of the family's 1533-position model. The record is from RNAcentral.